This 952-nucleotide ribosomal RNA is filed under the name Gyroporus longicystidiatus. RNAcentral describes it as "partial large subunit ribosomal RNA". The record is from RNAcentral. Lineage: Eukaryota; Fungi; Basidiomycota; Agaricomycetes; Boletales; Gyroporaceae.
GACUUAAGCAUAUCAAUAAGCGGAGGAAARGAAACUAACGAGGAUUCCCCUAGUAACUGCGAGUGAAGCGGGAAGGAGCUCAAAUUUCGAAUCCCAUGGACUCUGGCCAUGGGAGUUGUAAUCUAGAGAAGCGUCGUCCGCGCUGGACCGUGUACAGGUCUCCUGGAAGGGAGCAUCGUAGAGGGUGACAGUCCCGUCUUCGACACGGAUGCCCAGGGCUAUGUGAGGCGCUCUCGACGAGUCGGGUUGUUUGGGAAUGCAGCUCCAAACGGGUGGUAGACUCCAUCUAAAGCUAAAUACGGGCGAGAGACCGAUAGCGAACAAGUACCGUGAGGGAAAGAUGAAAAGAACUUUGGAAAGAGAGUUAAACAGUACGUGAAAUCGCUGGAAGGGAAACGCUCCGAGUCAGUCGCGUCCGCCGGGGAUCAACCCUGCUCUACGUGGGGCGUACUUCCCGACGGACGGGUCAGCAUCGAUCUCGGUCGUCGUACAAGGAUGGCGGCGAAAGUGGCACUCCCCGGAGUGUGUUAUAGCCCGCCGUUCGCAUGCGACGGCCUGGGAUCGAGGAACUCGACACGGACGGGGCUUCGGCCCGCGUCGGCGUGUCCAGGAUGUUGGCGUAAUGGCUUCGAGCGACCCGUCUUGAAACACGGACCAAGGAGUCCAACGUGCCUGCGAGUGUUCGGGUGGCAAACCCGGGCGCGUAACGAAAGUGAAAGUCGGGACCUCCGUCGUGGAGGGCACCGACGCCCGGACCGGAGCCGAAGGCUAAGGAUCUGCGGUGGAGCAUGCACGUUGGGACCCGAAAGAUGGUGAACUAUGCCUGAGUAGGGCGAAGCCAGAGGAAACUCUGGUGGAGGCUCGUAGCGAUUCUGACGUGCAAAUCGAUCGUCGAACUUGGGUAUAGGGGCGAAAGACUAAUCGAACCAUCUAGUAGCUGGUUCCUGCCGAA